UUUAACGGCCGCGGUAUCCUGACCGUGCGAAGGUAGCGUAAUCAUUUGUCUUUUAAAUAGAGACCUGUAUGAAUGGCAUAACGAGGGUUUAACUGUCUCCCUCCCCUAGUCAAUGAAAUUGAUCUGCCCGUGCAGAAGCGGACAUAAAUACAUAAGACGAGAAGACCCUAUGGAGCUUUAGACAAAAGAUCAAACAUGUAAAACAAACUAACCAAAACCAAAGGCACAAAACCGACGAUGAUCCAAUGUCUUCGGUUGGGGCGACCAUGGGGGAAAGAAAAACCCCCACGAGGACCAGGGGCAAUCCAUAAGCCAAGAAAUACACCUCUAAGCAACAGAAAUCUGACCAAAAUGACCCAGGAUAUCUGAUCAACGAACCAAGUUACCCUAGGGAUAACAGCGCAAUCCUUUCCCAGAGUCCAUAUCGACGAAAGGGUUUACGACCUCGAUGUUGGAUCAGGACAUCCUAAUGGUGCAGCCGCUAUUAAGGGUUCGUUUGUUCAACGAUUAAAGUCCU
This 517-nucleotide ribosomal RNA is filed under the name Anguilla bicolor (Indonesian shortfin eel). RNAcentral's name for it is "partial large subunit ribosomal RNA". It matches the Rfam family "Bacterial large subunit ribosomal RNA", at positions 1923 to 2597 of the family's 2925-position model. Lineage: Eukaryota; Metazoa; Chordata; Actinopteri; Anguilliformes; Anguillidae. The record is from RNAcentral.